RNAcentral lists this ribosomal RNA (389 nucleotides) under uncultured bacterium. RNAcentral's name for it is "bacterial SSU rRNA". It matches the Rfam family "Bacterial small subunit ribosomal RNA", at positions 28 to 417 of the family's 1533-position model. The record is from RNAcentral.
GACGAACGCUGGCGGCGUGCUUAACACAUGCAAGUCGAGCGGUAAGGCCCUUUCGGGGGUACACGAGCGGCGAACGGGUGAGUAACACGUGGGUGACCUGCCCUCAGCUCUGGGAUAAGCCUGGGAAACCGGGUCUAAUACUGGAUAUGACUCCAUGACGCAUGUUGUGGGGUGGAAAGCCUUGUGCGGCUGAGGAUGGGCCCGCGGCCUAUCAGCUUGUUGGUGGGGUGANGGCCUACCAAGGCGACGACGGGUAGCCGGCCCUGAGAGGGCGACCGGCCACACUGGGACUGAGACACGGCCCAGACUCCUACGGGAGGCAGCAGUGGGGAAUCUUGCGCAAUGGGCGAAAGCCUGACGCAGCGACGCCGCGUGAGGGAUGACGGCCU